This 364-nucleotide unclassified non-coding RNA is filed under the name uncultured fungus. RNAcentral describes it as "partial contains small subunit ribosomal RNA, internal transcribed spacer 1, and 5.8S ribosomal RNA". The stretch from base 1 to 73 matches the Rfam family "Eukaryotic small subunit ribosomal RNA", at positions 1759 to 1831 of the family's 1831-position model. Lineage: Eukaryota; Fungi. The record is from RNAcentral.
GCAAACUUGGUCAUUUAGAGGAAGUAAAAGUCGUAACAAGGUUUCCGUAGGUGAACCUGCGGAAGGAUCAUUACUGAAGAAAUGUUAGGGUUGAGCUGACUCUUAGGAGUAUGUGCUCGCUCUAUCACUUUUUCUCCUUCUCCUCCUGUGCACCUCUGUAGGCUAUGAAAACUUUACUUGAUCUUUCAAGAUUGAGUGAUGAGGAACUUGUGAGUUUGGCUUGCAUGUCCUUGCCUUCAUAGUCUAUGUUUUACAAACUCUAUAAAGUCUAGAAUGUUGAUUGUUGGUCUUGAUUGACCGAUAAAAUGUCUAUACAACUUUCAGCAACGGAUCUCUUGGCUCUCGCAUCGAUGAAGAACGCAGC